GUGUUGGGGUGGGAGUUACUGUAGCUUUCUCCUUAAAUCCUACAGCUCAUGAUUUGAGGUGGAGGCUACACUUCUCCAUAGCAAUGUGGUCAGUAGUGCUAUUUGUAAAUAUUUCUGGUUCUCCUCCUCUUGAGCUCAUGGUAGGAUUGUACUCUCCUCUCCUUUCUAAGCCAGUCAUGGGGUGAGUGGCUUGGCCAGCGAAAUUUGAGCAACUCACCAGCGUCACUUCAACAUUAUAAGGUAAAAAACAUACUUCAUAACGCCGCACUUAGAAAUAAGCACUAAUAGUUUAAUCACUUUUCUUUUUUACAUAAUAGUUCCAUGCUUACAUAAUGUUUUACAUGGGUGGUAUACUAUUGCAUUUGUAUCUUCAUGCCUUGCUUUUAAGGUUAUAUCACACAAGCAUUUUCCAACAUAUUGAAACGUUUUUGUUGCUUGCCAAAUGUUCAUUCAGGUAACUUGGCCAGAACAUAGAAGAGCAUCCUUUAGUGAUUUGACAUUUAAAAUCCUGAUAAUCCCGUGGAACAUUUCAGGGGCCAUCUUUGUGUAUAAAAUUUUCCUCGACUUAGUGCUACAGUCUGGGAUUUUAGUCUUGUACUCGGGGUGUUAAGCUUAGGUGUAUUCGCGUCAUAAGGCUCUUGAGACCUCUCACUGGUAGCUCUGGGAGAGGUUCUGUCUAUGUGUCUCCCACCAGCCUGGCUCUCAGUGUCUUUGGGUGCCAAGGGCAGUGGCCGCAGGGCAGCAAAUGCCAGCGUUCUCAGGAGGUCCUUCUCCAUCCCGUUGCAUGCAGCUUGGGUGCCGACUUCAGCGUCAUCAGAGCAACAGAGCACUGUCUUGUAGACUGGACCUGGUGUAUUAUUUCACUCAAAUUUGAUGCCCCCAAGGAAUUCACACAAGUCAAAAAAAUUUUCACAGAAACUGUUGCUUUCAGGUGUGCCAAACAUUCCAUGAACAGAAGAAAAUCCCUAAGAUAAUGACCCGCAGUAUGGGGAUUCUCCUUGGGCUCAUCGGAGGCCCAAGGUGACUGUCACUUCCAUAAACAUUUUGUUUCUCAUAAAGUAAAUCUUGGAUUACCAGUUUCCAAUCUUAAAAUGCAUAAUGUCUCAUUUUCAUUUAUUUCUCCUUUAUUGAAUACUUAAUACAUUCAAAUUAUUGAGAACUGCCAAUUACAUAAAAGUGGUAAAACUCAGGUAUGAAGCGUUUUAAGUUACAGGCCCAGUAUUCAACUGGUUGCCACAAACUGGCAAUGAUGGCUGCAUUAACAACUCUCCCCAAAGUCAGCCAUGCUCAUGGCUGGAUCCUAGGCCCCAGAGGCUCAGGCGUGGCAGGAGUAACGAGGGACCUCUGCAUGGGGAGUCUCUGACAGACUUAGUGAAACUUGUUUUCCAAAGAAAACAAGCUCAGAUUUGGCAUCGCAAUGCACAUGCUGGGUCUUUGGGAUGGAUUCUUGCUGAGAAAACUGAUUCUGAAAAGGUCACAUGAUUGAUAUAAAGAUGUAAAUAUCCAUCGUCCUCCUCUUUGGCGCUA
Molecule: long non-coding RNA, 1527 nt
Filed under: Homo sapiens (human)
Lineage: Eukaryota; Metazoa; Chordata; Mammalia; Primates; Hominidae
Description: non-protein coding lnc-C5orf38-6:1
Source: RNAcentral